Molecule: long non-coding RNA, 1470 nt
Filed under: Daucus carota (carrot)
Lineage: Eukaryota; Viridiplantae; Streptophyta; Magnoliopsida; Apiales; Apiaceae
Description: long non-coding RNA (DCAR_LNC000096)
Source: RNAcentral
UUAUUUUCUUUGUUUUAAUUAAUAAUAAAUAGUAAAUGAACUUGAUAAAAUCUAAAUAUAUGAUCAUAAAUACCGGAAGUCAUAGUUUUAGUUGGUUGUGGUAACAUUCAAGAAUAAUGUGUAGAACUCUAUAAAUAAUAUCUUUAUUGUUUGAACUCAUAUUUAGAGGUACUUAUUUGAUAUUUAUUAUGACUUUAAUGAUUCAAAUGAUACCCGUUUAAGAUCGGUGAACGAAGUGAUACUUUCAUUUCAGUGAUCACUUUGAUAUUUAACCUUAUUAACAAUCAAUGAGUCCUCCGUGCGUGCCCAACCAGAUAUACAAAAUUGACCUGGACGGAGGAAGUAUUUUAAGGCCUAUUUAAUAAAAUCGAGGUGAGUAAAAGUAAAAACAGAUCGCGACUCUGGUUUGGAUCAGGCCUAGGUAGGCGCUAAGAGGAUCCGGUCCAUUAUUCAUGAGGUACUCAUCUCCAGGAAGGGUGAUUUUUAAAAAAAACAUGUACGCAUAUCUUAAAUGCGUAUCUAGUUAGUGUGCAUAAUCAACACGCGNACGCAUAUCUUAAAUGCGUAUCUAGUUAGUGUGCAUAAUCAACACGCGGCGACUCUGGUUUGGAUCAGGCCUAGGUAGGCGCUAAGAGGAUCCGGUCCAUUAUUCAUGAGGUACUCAUCUCCAGGAAGGGUGAUUUUAAAAAAAAACAUGUACGCAUAUCUUAAAUGCGUAUCUAGUUAGUGUGCAUAAUCAACACGCAUUUCUAGAAUGCGUAGUCACAAUCUUGUUGAUAUAUACGCAAAUACGAAAUGCGUGUUCUUCGUUAAAAAUAUAAAACUUGACCACGCAUGUCUAGCAUGCGCAUUUGAUUGGUUAUUAUGGGCAGCUUCUUCCGCCUAUAGACAUUUUGAACAUUAUUCUUCAAAAUAUGGAUAUUUUGGUACCUCACCCGUCAUAUUGAAGUUACUAAAACACUUUAUUUCUUGAUCUAUUUAUAACAAAUAAUUAGAAUUUUGGAGUCCUUUGAAAACCAGGCCGUUUCGUACUUACAUGAAAUGUGUUGAUGACAUUCACACAUCAUGCGUUGGCACAAAUUUGAAAUGUGAAAGUCGCGGAUGAAUGUGGUAACAGGAACAAGUCGGGAAUUUUUCAUAUUUUGAGAUAUUAGAUUUUUGAAAGGGUGACUGUGACACAUGUAAAUCUUAUAUAAACAUCACAAUCUUAUAAAUCAAAACGGCAUUUUAUUGGCCUGAUUAUGGAUCAUAGUUUUAUAUGUACUAUGUAAAUUAAAGCUGUAAUUCGAGCCGAGUAUGUCAAGUUUCGAGCCGAGCCGAAUUCGAGCCAAGUUUAGAGUUGAACCGAGCCGGCUCGAUUAGUUAAUCGAGCCUAAACUCUUGCCCGAACACUCGACUUGUAAAAUUUCACGAGUCGAGUCCAACCGGCUCCUUUAGCUAAACGAGCCGGUUGUAACGGGUCGAACGACC